This 264-nucleotide small RNA is filed under the name Arabidopsis thaliana (thale cress). RNAcentral describes it as "ATSL219880". The record is from RNAcentral. Lineage: Eukaryota; Viridiplantae; Streptophyta; Magnoliopsida; Brassicales; Brassicaceae.
AUUUAUUUCUUAAUUAUAGGGCUUAUUGGAUCUAAAGACGGAUCAUCAAAGAUUUUCUAAACUGAAGCAAAAUAUAGUGAAUAUUCAAAUAUCUAUCUGUUACUAAAUGAUAAACAAAUAAGUUAAUAAGUCAAUAACUAUUUAGAGUGACGGGUUUUUGAAUCAACAUUAAUAAAAAAAAGUAAAAUAUAAUUAAUCCACCGUUUCAAUACGAGUUAAAUCAUUAAUUUAUUAAACAUAUCAAAUCAAUAAUAUUUUUAAAAU